AACGAACGCUGGCGGCAUGCCUAACACAUGCAAGUCGAACGAGACCUUCGGGUCUAGUGGCGCACGGGUGCGUAACGCGUGGGAACCUGCCCUUAGGUUCGGAAUAACUCCCCGAAAGGGGUGCUAAUACCGGAUAAUGUCUUCGGACCAAAGAUUUAUCGCCUUUGGAUGGGCCCGCGUUGGAUUAGCUAGUUGGUAGGGUAAAAGCCUACCAAGGCGACGAUCCAUAGCUGGUCUGAGAGGAUGAUCAGCCACACUGGGACUGGGACACGGCCCAGACUCCUACGGGAGGCAGCAGUGGGGAAUAUUGGACAAUGGGCGAAAUCCUGAUCCAGCAAUGCCGCGUGAGUGAUGAAGGCCUUAGGGUUGUAAAGCUCUUUUACCCGGGAUGAUAAUGACAGUACCGGGAGAAUAAGCUCCGGCUAACUCCGCG
Molecule: ribosomal RNA, 433 nt
Filed under: uncultured bacterium
Lineage: Bacteria
Description: partial 16S ribosomal RNA
Rfam family: Bacterial small subunit ribosomal RNA
Source: RNAcentral